UUAAGCGACUAAGCGUACACGGUGGAUGCCCUGGCAGUCAGAGGCGAUGAAGGACGUGCUAAUCUGCGAUAAGCGUCGGUAAGGUGAUAUGAACCGUUAUAACCGGCGAUUUCCGAAUGGGGAAACCCAGUGUGUUUCGACACACUAUCAUUAACUGAAUCCAUAGGUUAAUGAGGCGAACCGGGGGAACUGAAACAUCUAAGUACCCCGAGGAAAAGAAAUCAACCGAGAUUCCCCCAGUAGCGGCGAGCGAACGGGGAGCAGCCCAGAGCCUGAAUCAGUGUGUGUGUUAGUGGAAGCGUCUGGAAAGGCGCGCGAUACAGGGUGACAGCCCCGUACACAAAAAUGCACAUGCUGUGAGCUCGAUGAGUAGGGCGGGACACGUGGUAUCCUGUCUGAAUAUGGGGGGACCAUCCUCCAAGGCUAAAUACUCCUGACUGACCGAUAGUGAACCAGUACCGUGAGGGAAAGGCGAAAAGAACCCCGGCGAGGGGAGUGAAAAAGAACCUGAAACCGUGUACGUACAAGCAGUGGGAGCACGCUUAGGCGUGUGACUGCGUACCUUUUGUAUAAUGGGUCAGCGACUUAUAUUCUGUAGCAAGGUUAACCGAAUAGGGGAGCCGAAGGGAAACCGAGUCUUAACUGGGCGUUAAGUUGCAGGGUAUAGACCCGAAACCCGGUGAUCUAGCCAUGGGCAGGUUGAAGGUUGGGUAACACUAACUGGAGGACCGAACCGACUAAUGUUGAAAAAUUAGCGGAUGACUUGUGGCUGGGGGUGAAAGGCCAAUCAAACCGGGAGAUAGCUGGUUCUCCCCGAAAGCUAUUUAGGUAGCGCCUCGUGAAUUCAUCUCCGGGGGUAGAGCACUGUUUCGGCAAGGGGGUCAUCCCGACUUACCAACCCGAUGCAAACUGCGAAUACCGGAGAAUGUUAUCACGGGAGACACACGGCGGGUGCUAACGUCCGUCGUGAAGAGGGAAACAACCCAGACCGCCAGCUAAGGUCCCAAAGUCAUGGUUAAGUGGGAAACGAUGUGGGAAGGCCCAGACAGCCAGGAUGUUGGCUUAGAAGCAGCCAUCAUUUAAAGAAAGCGUAAUAGCUCACUGGUCGAGUCGGCCUGCGCGGAAGAUGUAACGGGGCUAAACCAUGCACCGAAGCUGCGGCAGCGACGCUUAUGCGUUGUUGGGUAGGGGAGCGUUCUGUAAGCCUGCGAAGGUGUGCUGUGAGGCAUGCUGGAGGUAUCAGAAGUGCGAAUGCUGACAUAAGUAACGAUAAAGCGGGUGAAAAGCCCGCUCGCCGGAAGACCAAGGGUUCCUGUCCAACGUUAAUCGGGGCAGGGUGAGUCGACCCCUAAGGCGAGGCCGAAAGGCGUAGUCGAUGGGAAACAGGUUAAUAUUCCUGUACUUGGUGUUACUGCGAAGGGGGGACGGAGAAGGCUAUGUUGGCCGGGCGACGGUUGUCCCGGUUUAAGCGUGUAGGCUGGUUUUCCAGGCAAAUCCGGAAAAUCAAGGCUGAGGCGUGAUGACGAGGCACUACGGUGCUGAAGCAACAAAUGCCCUGCUUCCAGGAAAAGCCUCUAAGCAUCAGGUAACAUCAAAUCGUACCCCAAACCGACACAGGUGGUCAGGUAGAGAAUACCAAGGCGCUUGAGAGAACUCGGGUGAAGGAACUAGGCAAAAUGGUGCCGUAACUUCGGGAGAAGGCACGCUGAUAUGUAGGUGAAGUCCCUUGCGGAUGGAGCUGAAAUCAGUCGAAGAUACCAGCUGGCUGCAACUGUUUAUUAAAAACACAGCACUGUGCAAACACGAAAGUGGACGUAUACGGUGUGACGCCUGCCCGGUGCCGGAAGGUUAAUUGAUGGGGUUAGCGGUAACGCGAAGCUCUUGAUCGAAGCCCCGGUAAACGGCGGCCGUAACUAUAACGGUCCUAAGGUAGCGAAAUUCCUUGUCGGGUAAGUUCCGACCUGCACGAAUGGCGUAAUGAUGGCCAGGCUGUCUCCACCCGAGACUCAGUGAAAUUGAACUCGCUGUGAAGAUGCAGUGUACCCGCGGCAAGACGGAAAGACCCCGUGAACCUUUACUAUAGCUUGACACUGAACAUUGAGCCUUGAUGUGUAGGAUAGGUGGGAGGCUUUGAAGUGUGGACGCCAGUCUGCAUGGAGCCGACCUUGAAAUACCACCCUUUAAUGUUUGAUGUUCUAACGUUGACCCGUAAUCCGGGUUGCGGACAGUGUCUGGUGGGUAGUUUGACUGGGGCGGUCUCCUCCUAAAGAGUAACGGAGGAGCACGAAGGUUGGCUAAUCCUGGUCGGACAUCAGGAGGUUAGUGCAAUGGCAUAAGCCAGCUUGACUGCGAGCGUGACGGCGCGAGCAGGUGCGAAAGCAGGUCAUAGUGAUCCGGUGGUUCUGAAUGGAAGGGCCAUCGCUCAACGGAUAAAAGGUACUCCGGGGAUAACAGGCUGAUACCGCCCAAGAGUUCAUAUCGACGGCGGUGUUUGGCACCUCGAUGUCGGCUCAUCACAUCCUGGGGCUGAAGUAGGUCCCAAGGGUAUGGCUGUUCGCCAUUUAAAGUGGUACGCGAGCUGGGUUUAGAACGUCGUGAGACAGUUCGGUCCCUAUCUGCCGUGGGCGCUGGAGAAUUGAGGGGGGCUGCUCCUAGUACGAGAGGACCGGAGUGGACGCAUCACUGGUGUUCGGGUUGUCAUGCCAAUGGCACUGCCCGGUAGCUAAAUGCGGAAGAGAUAAGUGCUGAAAGCAUCUAAGCACGAAACUUGCCCCGAGAUGAGUUCUCCCUGACUCCUUGAGAGUCCUGAAGGAACGUUGAAGACGACGACGUUGAUAGGCCGGGUGUGUAAGCGCAGCGAUGCGUUGAGCUAACCGGUACUAAUGAACCGUGAGGCUUAACCUU
RNAcentral lists this ribosomal RNA (2904 nucleotides) under Escherichia coli. RNAcentral's name for it is "bacterial LSU rRNA". It matches the Rfam family "Bacterial large subunit ribosomal RNA". Lineage: Bacteria; Pseudomonadati; Pseudomonadota; Gammaproteobacteria; Enterobacterales; Enterobacteriaceae. The record is from RNAcentral.